This 391-nucleotide ribosomal RNA is filed under the name uncultured bacterium. RNAcentral describes it as "bacterial SSU rRNA". It matches the Rfam family "Bacterial small subunit ribosomal RNA", at positions 28 to 420 of the family's 1533-position model. The record is from RNAcentral.
GACGAACGCUGGCGGCGUGCUUAACACAUGCAAGUCGAGCGGUAAGGCCCUUUCGGGGGUACACGAGCGGCGAACGGGUGAGUAACACGUGGGUGACCUGCCUUUAGCUCUGGGGAUAAGCCUGGGAAACUGGGUCUAAUACCGGAUACGACUCCGCGGUGCAUGCUGUGGGGUGGAAAGCCUUGUGCGGCUGGAGAUGGGCCCGCGGCCUAUCAGCUUGUUGGUGGGGUGAUGGCCACCAAGGCGACGACGGGUAGCCGGCCUGAGAGGGCGACCGGCCACACUGGGACUGAGACACGGCCCAGACUCCUACGGGAGGCAGCAGUGGGGAAUCUUGCGCAAUGGGCGAAAGCCUGACGCAGCGACGCCGCGUGAGGGAUGACGGCCUGGU